GAUGAACGCUGGCGGCGUGCCUAAUACAUGCAAGUAGAACGCUGAAGGAGGAGCUUGCUCUUCUGGAUGAGUUGCGAACGGGUGAGUAACGCGUAGGUAACCUGCCUGGUAGCGGGGGAUAACUAUUGGAAACGAUAGCUAAUACCGCAUGACAACAGUUAUUGCAUGAUAACUGUUUAAAAGGGGCAACUGCUCCACUACCAGAUGGACCUGCGUUGUAUUAGCUAGUUGGUGAGGUAACGGCUCACCAAGGCGACGAUACAUAGCCGCCCUGAGAGGGGGGUCGGCCAGCCUGGGACUGAGACACGGCCCAGUCGCCUACGGGAGGCAGCCGUAGGGAAUCGUCGGCAAUGGACGGAAGUCUGACCGAGCAACGCCGCGUGAGUGAAGAAGGUUUUCGGAUCGUAAAGCUCUGUUGUAAGGGAAGAACGAGUGUGAGAGUGGAAAGUUCACACUGUGACGGUAACUUACCAGAAAGGGACGGCUAACUACGUG
Molecule: ribosomal RNA, 495 nt
Filed under: uncultured bacterium
Lineage: Bacteria
Description: partial 16S ribosomal RNA
Rfam family: Bacterial small subunit ribosomal RNA
Source: RNAcentral